This 549-nucleotide ribosomal RNA is filed under the name uncultured bacterium. RNAcentral's name for it is "bacterial SSU rRNA". It matches the Rfam family "Bacterial small subunit ribosomal RNA", at positions 777 to 1324 of the family's 1533-position model. The record is from RNAcentral.
AAUAGAUACCCUGGUAGUCCAUGCCGUAAACGUUGGGCACUAGGUGUGGGGGACAUUCCACGUUUUCCGCGCCGUAGCUAACGCAUUAAGUGCCCCGCCUGGGGAGUACGGCCGCAAGGCUAAAACUCAAAGGAAUUGACGGGGGCCCGCACAAGCGGCGGAGCAUGCGGAUUAAUUCGAUGCAACGCGAAGAACCUUACCAAGGCUUGACAUGAACCAGACCGGGCUGGAAACAGUCCUUCCCCUUUGGGGUUGGUUUACAGGUGGUGCAUGGUUGUCGUCAGCUCGUGUCGUGAGAUGUUGGGUUAAGUCCCGCAACGAGCGCAACCCUCGUUCCAUGUUGCCAGCGGGUAGUGCCGGGGACUCAUGGGAGACUGCCGGGGUCAACUCGGAGGAAGGUGGGGACGACGUCAAAGUCAUCAUGCCCCUUAUGUCUUGGGCUUCACGCAUGCUACAAUGGCCGGUACAAAGGGUUGCGAUACUGUGAGGUGGAGCUAAUCCCAAAAAGCCGGUCUCAGUGCAGAUUGGGGCUGAAACUCGCCCCAUGAA